RNAcentral lists this long non-coding RNA (1098 nucleotides) under Pogona vitticeps (central bearded dragon). Its description in RNAcentral is "lncRNA (ENSPVIG00000023775.1)". Lineage: Eukaryota; Metazoa; Chordata; Lepidosauria; Squamata; Agamidae. The record is from RNAcentral.
GGGCGGGGGUCUACACUCUCUCCUCACCCCUGCCUCGUGAUUCGGCGCCCUCCGCGUUGGCACCGAUUUACACCCCCCCUCCGCUCCCAGGAGAAGCAGCAGCGGGAGCAGCCCAGCUCUGCUGGCCGGAACAGCCGGGAUUACAUAAUCCUGCCUCUUCACUCUUGCUGCGAUCCCCACUUGAUCCCUGAGCUAGAGCCGCACGGGAAACGCGGAAGGGGGGGUGGGGGCGAGAGAGAUCUCAGUGUGUACGGUAAUACCAAUACACACAUACACACGACGGAAACACGCGAACGCGCGCCCUCGCAGGCAGGCGCGCGCGCGCACACACACACACACACACACACACACACACACACACACACACACACACACACACACACACACACACACACACACACCUUGAAGGAAUCCAGAGGAGUUCGACAGCAGAGGCCCGAUUCAUCCGAUCCACCAGCCCACACCGCGGGGAAAAAGAGAAGGAGGGGGAGGACUCCGACGAUCGAGUGGCUGGGCAGCAGGCAAGGCACUGUAGCUGGACAGGUGACAGGCACCGGGCAAUCCUAUACACACACACACACACACACACACACACACACACACACACACACCGCAAGAGCAGCCCCCCUCCCCAACACGCGCUUUCGCCAGGCCACCCCGGGGGUGGCGAAGGAGCCGCAGACACACACACACACCAGCUCCUCUCUGCGUCCGUGGGAUCCGGAAACUUCAGUCAGGGCGGUGGCACUGCAGGGAGCCCAAGGAUCGGGGCGGGGAGAUGAGGCGGGCGGAGUAGGGGGGGGAGGUAUCCUGCUCAGCUUUGCCAAAGAAGCGAGAGCCCUUCGCACGCGGUCCACUGCAGCCCGGGAAGGGCUCCGGCGCCCAGAACUUUCCUCCCGUCCCGUCCCGUCCCCUCCUUACCCCCACCCCGCAAGCCACCCGCCACCCUUCCCUGGCCACCGUCUACCUUUCCUGACCAGCUGCCCGCUUUCGGAAUACCUGAGGCUUAACAGGCACGGCGGCUGCCCGGGCUCGGGGAGCGCAAGCGGCGUCUGCAAGGCUAGCCCGGCCGUCCUCCCUCCCGCGAGGAGAUGCUGA